UACGUAGGGGGCGAGCGUUGUCCGGAAUUAUUGGGCGUAAAGAGCGUGUAGGCGGUUCGGUAAGUCUGCUGUGAAAUCCUGGGGCUCAACCCUGGGCGUGCAUUGAAUACUGCCGGGCUAGAGGGCGGUAGAGGCGAGUGGAAUUCCGAGUGUAGAGGUGAAAUGCGCAGAUAUUCGGAGGAACACCAGUAGCGAAGGCGGCUCGCUGGGCCACAACUGACGCUGAGAUGCGAAAGCGUGGGGAGCGAACAGG
Molecule: ribosomal RNA, 253 nt
Filed under: uncultured bacterium
Lineage: Bacteria
Description: partial 16S ribosomal RNA
Rfam family: Bacterial small subunit ribosomal RNA
Source: RNAcentral